AGUGAACGCUGGCGGUAGGCCUAACACAUGCAAGUCGAACGGCAGCACAGUAAGAGCUUGCUCUUACGGGUGGCGAGUGGCGGACGGGUGAGGAAUACAUCGGAAUCUACUUUUUCGUGGGGGAUAACGUAGGGAAACUUACGCUAAUACCGCAUACGACCUACGGGUGAAAGCAGGGGAACUUCGGACCUUGCGCGAUUGAAUGAGCCGAUGUCGGAUUAGCUAGUUGGCGGGGUAAAGGCCCACCAAGGCGACGAUCCGUAGCUGGUCUGAGAGGAUGAUCAGCCACACUGGAACUGAGACACGGUCCAGACUCCUACGGGAGGCAGCAGUGGGGAAUAUUGGACAAUGGGCGCAAGCCUGAUCCAGCCAUACCGCGUGGGUGAAGAAGGCCUUCGGGUUGUAAAACCCUUUUGUUGGGAGAGAAAAGCAGCAGGUUAAUACCCCGCUGUUCUGACGGUACCCAAAGAAUAAGCACCGGCUAACUUCGUG
This 492-nucleotide ribosomal RNA is filed under the name uncultured bacterium. RNAcentral describes it as "partial 16S ribosomal RNA". It matches the Rfam family "Bacterial small subunit ribosomal RNA", at positions 29 to 507 of the family's 1533-position model. The record is from RNAcentral.